RNAcentral lists this ribosomal RNA (564 nucleotides) under uncultured bacterium. RNAcentral's name for it is "bacterial SSU rRNA". It matches the Rfam family "Bacterial small subunit ribosomal RNA", at positions 338 to 916 of the family's 1533-position model. The record is from RNAcentral.
CCUACGGGAGGCAGCAGUGGGGAAUUUUCCGCAAUGGGCGAAAGCCUGACGGAGCAACGCCGCGUGAGGGAUGAAUGCCUCUGGGCUGUAAACCUCUUUUAUCAAGGAAGAAGAUCUGACGGUACUUGAUGAAUAAGCCACGGCUAAUUCCGUGCCAGCAGCCGCGGUAAUACGGGAGUGGCAAGCGUUAUCCGGAAUUAUUGGGCGUAAAGCGUCCGCAGGCGGUCUUUUAAGUCUGUCGUCAAAGCGUGGAGCUUAACUCCAUUACUGCGAUGGAAACUGGAAGACUAGAGUGUGGUAGGGGCAGAGGGAAUUCCCGGUGUAGCGGUGAAAUGCGCAGAUAUCGGGAAGAACACCAGUGGCGAAGGCGCUCUGCUGGGCCAUAACUGACGCUCAUGGACGAAAGCCAGGGGAGCGAAAGGGAUUAGAUACCCCUGUAGUCCUGGCCGUAAACGAUGAACACUAGGUGUCGGGGGAAUCGACCCCCUCGGUGUCGUAGCCAACGCGUUAAGUGUUCCGCCUGGGGAGUACGCACGCAAGUGUGAAACUCAAAUGAAUUGACGG